CCUACGGGGCGCAGCAGUGGGGAAUAUUGCACAAUGGGCGCAAGCCUGAUGCAGCCAUGCCGCGUGUGUGAAGAAGGCCUUCGGGUUGUAAAGCACUUUCAGCGGGGAGGAAGGCGGUGAGGUUAAUAACCUCAUCGAUUGACGUUACCCGCAGAAGAAGCACCGGCUAACUCCGUGCCAGCAGCCGCGGUAAUACGGAGGGUGCAAGCGUUAAUCGGAAUUACUGGGCGUAAAGCGCACGCAGGCGGUCUGUCAAGUCGGAUGUGAAAUCCCCGGGCUCAACCUGGGAACUGCAUUCGAAACUGGCAGGCUAGAGUCUUGUAGAGGGGGGUAGAAUUCCAGGGGUAGCGGUGAAAUGCGUAGAGAUCUGGAGGAGUACCGGUGGCGAAGGCGGCCCCCUGGACAAAGACUGACGCUCAGGUGCGAAAGCGUGGGGAGCGAACAGGAUUAGAUACCCCGGUAGUC
RNAcentral lists this ribosomal RNA (465 nucleotides) under uncultured Klebsiella sp. RNAcentral describes it as "bacterial SSU rRNA". It matches the Rfam family "Bacterial small subunit ribosomal RNA", at positions 338 to 795 of the family's 1533-position model. The record is from RNAcentral. Lineage: Bacteria; Pseudomonadati; Pseudomonadota; Gammaproteobacteria; Enterobacterales; Enterobacteriaceae.